AUUGAACGCUGGCGGCAUGCCUUACACAUGCAAGUCGAACGGCAGCACGGGAGCAAUCCUGGUGGCGAGUGGCGAACGGGUGAGUAAAGUAUCGGAACGUGCCCAGUCGUGGGGGAUAACGUAGCGAAAGUUACGCUAAUACCGCAUACGAUCUAUGGAUGAAAGCGGGGGAUCGCAAGACCUCGCGCGAUUGGAGCGGCCGAUAUUAGAUUAGGUAGUUGGUGGGGUAAAGGCUCACCAAGCCGACGAUCUGUAGCUGGUCUGAGGGGACGACCAGCCACACUGGGACUGAGACACGGCCCAGACUCCUACGGGAGGCAGCAGUGGGGAAUUUUGGACAAUGGGCGAAAGCCUGAUUCAGCCAUGCCGCGUGCAGGAUGAAGGCCUUCGGGUUGUAAACUGCUUUUGUACGGAACGAAAAGGUUUGGGCUAAUAAGCUGAGCUCAUGACGGUACCGUAAGAAUAAGCACCGGCUAACUACGUGCCAGCCGCCGCGGUAA
RNAcentral lists this ribosomal RNA (500 nucleotides) under uncultured bacterium. RNAcentral's name for it is "partial 16S ribosomal RNA". It matches the Rfam family "Bacterial small subunit ribosomal RNA", at positions 30 to 523 of the family's 1533-position model. The record is from RNAcentral.